GCCGAGGUAGCUCAAUUGGUAGAGCAAUCGCUUCGUAAGCGAUAGGUUGUGGGUUCAAGUCCCAUCCUCGGCU
RNAcentral lists this transfer RNA (73 nucleotides) under Elusimicrobia bacterium RIFOXYA2_FULL_58_8. RNAcentral describes it as "tRNA-Thr". It matches the Rfam family "tRNA". Rfam says of the family: Transfer RNA (tRNA) molecules are approximately 80 nucleotides in length. Their secondary structure includes four short double-helical elements and three loops (D, anti-codon, and T loops). RNAcentral also lists the same sequence under 1 other name. Lineage: Bacteria; Pseudomonadati; Elusimicrobiota. The record is from RNAcentral.